CUACGGGCCGCAGCAGUGGGGAAUAUUGGACAAUGGAGGAAACUCUGAUGCAGCAACGCCGCGUGGAGGAUGACACUUUUCGGAGCGUAAACUCCUUUUAUAUAGGAAGAAGAUGACGGUACUAUAUGAAUAAGCGCCGGCUAACUCCGUGCCAGCAGCCGCGGUAAUACGGAGGGCGCAAGCGUUACUCGGAAUCACUGGGCGUAAAGAGCGUGUAGGCGGAUUAAAAAGUCAGAAGUGAAAUCCUAUAGCUUAACUAUAGAACUGCUUCUGAAACUCUUAAUCUAGAAUAUGGGAGAGGUAGAUGGAAUUUCUGGUGUAGGGGUAAAAUCCGGAGAGAUCAGAAGGAAUACCGAUUGCGAAGGCGAUCUACUAGAACAUUAUUGACGCUGAGACGCGAAAGCGUGGGGAGCAAACAGGAUUAGAUACCCUCGUAGUC
This 439-nucleotide ribosomal RNA is filed under the name uncultured bacterium. RNAcentral describes it as "partial 16S ribosomal RNA". It matches the Rfam family "Bacterial small subunit ribosomal RNA", at positions 339 to 795 of the family's 1533-position model. The record is from RNAcentral.